UACAGAGGGUGCGAGCGUUAAUCGGAAUUACUGGGCGUAAAGCGUGCGUAGACGGUAGCGUAAGUCGGGUGUGAAAGCCCCGGGCUCAACCUGGGAAUUGCAUUCGAGACUGCUCUGCUAGGGUGCGGAAGAGGGAAGCGGAAUUUCCGGUGUAGCAGUGAAAUGCGUAGAUAUCGGAAGGAACACCAGUGGCGAAAGCGGCUUCCUGGUCCAGCACCGACGUCAGGCACGAAAGCGUGGGGAGCAAACAGG
Molecule: ribosomal RNA, 252 nt
Filed under: uncultured bacterium
Lineage: Bacteria
Description: partial 16S ribosomal RNA
Rfam family: Bacterial small subunit ribosomal RNA
Source: RNAcentral